UUGUUUGUUUGUUUGUCAUGUAAUUGUGCAUAUAUGUUUAAGAAGUAUGUAUCCCCACAUCAGUGAUCAUGAUGAGCUGGGAGAAGAAACACGUGAGGCAAAAGAGGAGAAGGAAACGUUCCCGUCUGCCCGCCUGGCGCAUCACUGCGGGAAACAUGUCCACCACGGACGUGAUCACUACCUCCAUGGCAACAAACUUUAUACAGAAAAAGAAAAGAUCAAGCCAUGAGGGACGUUGCACAGGUCAGUAGUUUCAGAAUGACAAUAAGUCUAUACUUGCGUGUCCAAGCCCAGGAGAAUGAUCAUGAAGAAGAAGCAGAUGGACCACAGUUGAGGUAACGGCAUCAUGGCCACCGCCUGAGGAUAAGCGAUGAAUGCCAAGCCUGGACCUGGAAAAAACACGCCCAUGCACUGUCACCAUCAAUAUAGGACAUUUCAACCAUUUCCUAUCAUGUUUGAAUUGUAUUCAAUGGAAGAUUUAAAGUGGAACAAUGGCACUAACAUUAUGUUUUUAUCAUUUUCAGGAUUGACGCUGUACUGGCUGCUAUUUUGUCUUGUCACACAUUGAAGGCAACACAUUGUUUGCGUUCUUCAUCAGUGUAGUUAGCUUUUUUAUUAAUUAAAUGGAACAAGAAACAAGCUUACAAAUGGUCAAUUAGAGAGCUUCUUCAAAUGUAUUACAAUGUAAUUUUAUUAUGUGAAACAGCACCGCCAUCAAUGUGUGAAUGUGGAAAUAGUGUCAAAACGCUUUGAGUUUGUUAAAAAAAAAAAGGUAGAAAAGCGCUAUACAAGUACAACCUAUUUACCAUUUACUUCUGGCCUGAGUCAAAUGAGACAAGAUGGCAACCCCAAUGUUAGCAUACGCUUGCAACCAGCUGAGCUCAUAUAUUGUUACAUAUUAUUGAGCCUAUUUCAAUUGUAACUAUUUAUUCAUACUGGCAUGCCAACAUUGCUAAUGCCACAGUUGCUAAACUGUGAUUGGCUAAUUGUAUACUUGUUAUAUAUUAGCAUAAUAAGCUUACAGUUGCUCAAAUGUUGGCGUCCAUUGAUUGUGUUCAUAGUAUUUUUCUUUUUAUUUGAUAUUAACUGGUUAAGAAAACGUUCAUAUAAUUUAUUACAUAAACACAACUAACUGUGGAAGAUAUGUAAUUGUGCAGUUAUCUUUAGUAAGAACACUAACUAUAGAAAAACUGUUUCUUGAUACCUGUGCAUGUGAUGUGAGUGGGUGUCCUCAAGAUGGCAGCAGACAUUUUUACAAAUCUUUCAUAUUUUUUGCAAACUCUGUUACUGUGUUUGAAACCCUUAUGUUAUCUCUGAGCUUAAUUUUGCUCUAUUUUUUUUCAAUAGCAGGUGCCAUUUUAAUAGGGUUUAAAGCUUACCAGACUCAGCUACUUCUGCAAUGGGAACUCCCUGCUCAUGGGCCAUGAACCCCAGCACAGAGAAGACUGCAAAACCAGCCACCACACUGGUACCACUGUUUAGUAAACACAGCCACAAACAGUCUCUGCAACACACAAAUUGACUUUUUUUUAAAUAUUUUGGUACAACUUGGUCCAUCACACUCUUUAGACUUUGUACUUCUGGUGCGCAGUUAAAAUAAGGGCGUGAAUGAUGUUAAAACUAAUCCUGACAAAUUGGGAAUAAAUCAGUCCAUUUCUAACUGACAUACGCAGCACAUUUAAGUCCAAUUUUUAUUUGUACUUAUAUACCGUGCAAUACUUUUAUUUGUCUAAAUGUCGAAAUACGUACAAAAAUAUAAAUAUGUACAUGAACUAUACUGAAAAAAUACAGUUGCACUCACUGUCGAUUUACUUGCAAAGAUUAUACAAUUACAAAAGUUUAUACAAUUAAAAUACAGUAGCUUAACUCAUCUUUCAAAAAGUUACUCCAAAAAAUAUUGAAGGCUUUUAUGUAUUAAAUAAAGGGGGCUGUAUAUCAUUUCAAGUGCAACUGUAUUUAAUAAACAUUUUACUUUAUUGGAUGUGUUCAUCAUUAAAAAAAAAAAAGCCCACAGAGGUUCUAAUGAAAUUGAAUGAAGAUUUUCUGCACUCACUCUGUUGUGACAAGUCCCUUUCGCAUACAAUUACUAAACAAUACAUGUUUAUUGUAGUUUGCAGUGGUGUUGAACUACAUGGCUUCAUACUUCUUUUCUAUUAAGUGUUUCUAAUAUUUCACAAAUAAUAGAACCAAAAUUUUACAUAUUUGUAACCCAGUUAGUUCGGGCCCAUGCCUUUAUCCCAUUCCGCACAAACAAAUAAACACCAGCAAAAGUUGUGAAAACAACCAGAAGCAUGAUGAGAAAAAGUAAAAAAUGUCAACAUCAGCCAAUAACGACACAAAGCUUUUUCCUUAAAAAACAAAAACACAUACGAAGUAAUGAUAUACACAUUUGCUUCCUGUUGACACUUACUUAUAGCAGUUGUUGCUGUAAGGGUUAUAGCUGCCCAGUACAGUGAGCGUGCCCACACCAAUGCUGUAUGAGAAGAAGAUCUGGGCGCCAGCUUCCAUCCACACCUGUCAACACCACCCACUGACAAAUGAGUGUGUUUUGCUCUUUGCAUUGUGUUCCCACCACGUAACAGCGCCUAUACCUGAGGGUCUGUGAGUCGUGACAGUUCUGGAAGAAGAUAGAACACCACUCCUUGUCUGGCCCCGGGAAGAGUGAGUCCACGGAUCAACAGGAUAAGCAGCAUAAUGUAAGGGAAGGUGGCGGUGAAAUACACCACCUGGAAAGGAUAGGAGUUUCUUGCUUUUAAAUGAGGUAUCACACACUUGCUGCCAUUUUUCAAGACUUUACCUUUCCGGUAGAUUUAACCCCUUUCCAGAUGCAGAAGUAACAUAUGAUCCACAUGGCGAUGAGGCACAGCAGCACCUCCCACCUAAUGCUGCCGAUUUCCUCAAUGCCCCCUGAGAUGUUCAACACCCUAUGUCUAUAAAUAAAUAAAUAAUUCUGUUGCUGCUGAAGUUCCUUUGGUGUGGUUGCUGCCCUCCAGUGUGUGAUUUCUUGUUGUGAAGUCUACACAAUCCACUUAUGGUAGUUGUCACAUGUGCUCCAGGGCAGUUGGGACUUAAAGGAAAACAGCAGGUAGAAGAGAGCCCAGGACAGAAUAAUGAUAGUGUUACACACCUUCAGCCAGUGGACACAGCUUCCUCCAACAUGUGAUCCCACCCUCUUGGGUGUACUGGCCAACGGCAGUUUCCAAAAGGAAGAGCGCUGUGGCUUGCAGGUGCCACUGACCCGGCUGGAUAGGAGGACGCAGACGAACGCGGUACAGACCACUGAAGGGCUGGAAGUCAGCCAGAGAGCCUUCCUCGCUCAGCAGAGACUGGCUGUGGCCUAAAAAAGAGCUGUCAACUCUGAAGGAGUGUGAAGACCUCUGGUCCUGGUCCGUCUUGAGAUAGAGAAGAGUCACCUGAACCCUCGCCCCAGACUGGUCUGCAAAGGAUGCAAGCGGACAUGUAGAUUUCCAAACGUGUUCAUGAGUCUCCAAGGUGACAUUGAGGAUAGCCUGCUCAGUGAUGUACUGGUGUGUGUGCGAAUCCCAGGACAGCGUCAACACCCGAGACCAAAAGUUGGGGAGAAAGCAUGUGCACGGUGCCGCCAGGAAAAGG
Nerophis ophidion (straightnose pipefish) is the source of this 3612-nucleotide long non-coding RNA. RefSeq lists it as uncharacterized. The transcript has 8 exons. Lineage: Eukaryota; Metazoa; Chordata; Actinopteri; Syngnathiformes; Syngnathidae. The record is from RefSeq and is a predicted model, not a curated record.